Molecule: long non-coding RNA, 1883 nt
Filed under: Olea europaea (common olive)
Lineage: Eukaryota; Viridiplantae; Streptophyta; Magnoliopsida; Lamiales; Oleaceae
Description: long non-coding RNA (OEUR_LNC009215)
Source: RNAcentral
GCAUGCAUGUUUAUUUUUGUGUUUGUGUGCUUGACUUUAUUUUAUUUUGUAUGUGGAGCAUUCAUUUUAGGAAAAAUGAAAAACACAAAAACAUUGAAAAUUUGAAAAAGACAAAAAUAAUUGGUUAUGGAAAUUUCUACAGCAUGACACAUGACUUAGAGCUUGCACGUAUCAUGUAGGAGCUAAAAUUGAUAAGCUGUUAAAUAAUUUUCAUUGCUUGGUUACGUUUAGUUGGAUUAAUAUGUAUAAGUGUCUUCAUGUGCCAUCUGCACUGCACACACCAUGAAUUUGUUAGUGGGACACUAUUGUGUGUGUGAGAUUUGGGAUGGCUGUCACAUGUUGAUGAGGUGACUUUGAACAUGAAUUGACCAAUUUUCGUAGACCUUAACCCAAAAAUUUCCCCCAAUUUUAAAUGCUCAUAUCUUAAUGUUCUUCUUCGGGGCCUAUUUGACACGAGCAAUUAAGCCUGCAGGGUCUCUGAAAACCUGGUGCCUAUGCUGAACUGACAUGGGUUAAUUGGCCUAAAGCUCGCUAUAGGGGUCAUCUUAGUCACCUAAUAGAGAAGAACUUGCACUUAAGAUGAAAAAUUAAUGAGCUUAAGAAAUGAGAAACACAUGAAAAAAUAUGAUGAGCUGAAAUACUUUGAAAAAUUGAAAAACAAAUAAGCUCAUAGUAAGGGAGAUAUAAGUAAAAAUAAUAAGUAUAUGUCCUACUACGCGUUACAUGGUUUGACUCUCAUUAGUAGGAGAACAUACUUAUUAGCAGUGAUUGACAUGUCCCCUCUCACAAAAUUAAGGUUUGGAAUCCUGCUUGCAUUGGAUCAGUGACACUUUACAUACUUGAGUCAUUUAUAUUAUUACUCCAUUCUGAACUGAACUAAGUAUGUGGGGAGUUAUACUACUUGUUGAUUUUGUUUUUACAUGCUAUCAAUUGUAUUUUUUAUUAUUAUGUAUUAUUACUCGACUUGGCCUUAAUGUAUGUCCCUUCAGCAUUUGUGACAAAAAGGGGGAGAGAAAUGUGUAACUGAGGGGGAGAAAAAAAUAAUGAUUGAGCAUACACAUAGGAGAGCUACUACAUUUGCAAUGUGCUCGUGAUUUUAUUUAUUGACAUUACUUGCAUUACAUUGCUAUGUUUAGGGGUCGUUGGGGAGAGACAUAAAUACAUUUACCUACUGCAUAAAAACAUGAAAGCUUGCAGUAAGGGGGAGCGUUGCAUUGCAUUCUAUAUCACAUCCAUCUGUUUGAGUUUUGAUGUUUAGUUGUGUUGGUGUCUUGGUGGUGUUUUGAUUGGCAUCAAUGUCACGUCUCAAACUAUUAUGUUGAUUUGUGAUUAAGAGCUUUAAUUAAUUUUUAUAUUUCCUAUAUCACGUACUAUUACACUGGGUAUAUGAGUUUGUGGAUUUCAGGAAACAGAUAUACGAAAGAAUGCAAGACUCGGUGAUUAGGUUUACUGGGUAGUUUAGUUUUUGGUUGUCAAGUCCUGACUUAUUUUUUUAUUGUCUUGACUUCAUUUGUAGAGUUUUGUCACAGAAUGCCAAAGGGGGAGUUUGUUAGGUCUAAAAGUAUAAUUGGUGAUUCUGUGGACAAAACGGACUAAAUUGUAUAAUUGUAAAAGUCAGGGACUUAGGGUGCAAUUUGUAUAGAUGAGGUAAAUUAAUAUUCGAGUCGCUGAAAGUAUCCAAGAUGUCCAAGAAGAUCACACAAGAUCAUCGGAAUGCAAUUGGAAGUCUAAAGGAUAUUAAAGAGCCGCACAAAUUAUGUUCCGAAUUUUCAGUCAUAACUUGCAACGCAUUUUUCACAUAGGAAAAUUUGGAAUUUGGACAAGGCUACUUCUAGAGGAAUUGUAUCUCUUUGAGUUAUAUUUUUAACACAAUUUGAAUCACC